UGCUGGGUGGAUUAGUGGCGAACGGGUGAGUAACACGUGAGUAACCUGCCCUUAACUCUGGGAUAAGCCUGGGAAACUGGGUCUAAUACCGGAUAGGAGCGCCUACCGCAUGGUGGGUGUUGGAAAGAUUUAUCGGUUUUGGAUGGACUCGCGGCCUAUCAGCUUGUUGGUGAGGUAAUGGCUCACCAAGGCGACGACGGGUAGCCGGCCUGAGAGGGUGACCGGCCACACUGGGACUGAGACACGGCCCAGACUCCUACGGGAGGCAGCAGUGGGGAAUAUUGCACAAUGGGCGAAAGCCUGAUGCAGCGACGCCGCGUGAGGGAUGACGGCCUUCGGGUUGUAAACCUCUUUCAGUAGGGAAGAAGCGAAAGUGACGGUACCUGCAGAAGAAGCACCGGCUAACUACGUGCCAGCAGCCGCGGUAAUACGUAGGGUGCGAGCGUUAUCCGGAAUUAUUGGGCGUAAAGAGCUCGUAGGCGGUUUGUCGCGUCUGUCGUGAAAGUCCGGGGCUUAACCCCGGAUCUGCGGUGGGUACGGGCGGACUAGAGUGCAGUAGGGGAGACUGGAAUUCCUGGUGUAGCGGUGGAAUGCGCAGAUAUCAGGAGGAACACCGAUGGCGAAGGCAGGUCUCUGGGCUGUAACUGACGCUGAGGAGCGAAAGCAUGGGGAGCGAACAGGAUUAGAUACCCUGGUAGUCCAUGCCGUAAACGUUGGGCACUAGGUGUGGGGACCAUUCCACGGUUUCCGCGCCGCAGCUAACGCAUUAAGUGCCCCGCCUGGGGAGUACGGCCGCAAGGCUAAAACUCAAAGGAAUUGACGGGGGCCCGCACAAGCGGCGGAGCAUGCGGAUUAAUUCGAUGCAACGCGAAGAACCUUACCAAGGCUUGACAUGUUCUCGAUCGCCGUAGAGAUACGGUUUCCCCUUUUGGGGCGGGUUCACAGGUGGUGCAUGGUUGUCGUCAGCUCGUGUCGUGAGAUGUUGGGUUAAGUCCCGCAACGAGCGCAACCCUCGUUCCAUGUUGCCAGCACGUAAUGGUGGGGACUCAUGGGAGACUGCCGGGGUCAACUCGGAAGGAAGGGGAGGACGACGUCAAAUCAUCAUGGCCC
Molecule: ribosomal RNA, 1110 nt
Rfam family: Bacterial small subunit ribosomal RNA